ACACAUCACACACAAUACACACUACACACCACAUACCACACAACACACGAGACACAAAUACACACCAUGAGCGAUACAUACCACACAAUACACACCACAAGCACAUGCAGCACGCACAGCGUACAGACCAUGUGCACCCACAUCACACACAGACACCCCCAGCUUCUGCCAUGGCCCAGCCCGGCAGGCACGAGAAGGGCAGUUCCUCCCGCCCCCCUUGGGGCGGAGGGUGCAAUCAUGGAGCUGCUUUAGUAACCGAAGGUCAAACACUGUCCACGUUUAAACACAAGGCAGCCACAGCAGCUGCUCCAGGCGGAUCUCCAAAGGUGUCACAGUGAGCAGCCUCCCACAGCACUGCCCUCCUGUCCCAAGGGCCCUGCCCCCCCGUCCGCUCCCCUCCCCUUGGCAUGAUCCACGCAGGGACCUGGAUGGUGCCCACACAGGCUCCAGCACAAGCGCCACAUCCCGGCACAAGGCCAUGGGCACCUCCCGGCGCACCCACCUCCCUUGGCCAGAAUCGCCUAGGGGAGGGCAGGGAAGCCCCACCACCAGCUCUCGCCUGGGCUGGGCCACUCACCAGCACAUGACCAGGCAGGUCGCCUCCCUCUCAGAGCCUCAGUUUCCCCUCCGGAAGAUGGCCAGGACCUGAAUUAACAGGGGAGGCAGACCAGCCUGGACUCACGCUUAGCCUCCCUGUGGUGGGCGGAAUAAGAUCAUGAUUCCGGAACCUCACGUGGUGAAAGGGGGACGUUCAGGACGCUGAGAUGGGAGAAGAUCCCAGGGCUCCUGAUGUCAUCACCAAGCUCCUCAAUGCUGAGCCAACCUCCCUCUUGGCCAGAAGUAGAUGUUGAUUAUGGCAGCAGAGGUUAGAGACACGCGCUGCG
RNAcentral lists this long non-coding RNA (884 nucleotides) under Homo sapiens (human). Its description in RNAcentral is "HSALNT0235272". The record is from RNAcentral. Lineage: Eukaryota; Metazoa; Chordata; Mammalia; Primates; Hominidae.